UUUUUCCAAGAUGAUUGUAUCACACACUCAGGUAGCGUUUAAAGAAAUGCGUAAAUUUUAUUUUUCGAUGGCAAUGUUAUGAAUUGUAUGACAGUGCUCGUUAAUCAUGUAUUUUGUUGAAAGAUGCUCGUAUUUGCAAUACAUUUUCCCUUGUGCUGCUUUUAUAUCUGCUCUUGUUGAUCUCAAAUGAUUGCUGUAUUGGCGAUUAGAGGCUACUGUUAUAUUUUAAUAAUUUAUAAGCCGUCGUUUUUAUGAAACUGUAUUAUGACAAAUGUUUUGAUAAAUAUAUCGCUCUUCUUCUCAACUUAUUUUUGAUGUUUGCAUUAUGAAUCUCGUUUUUAUUUCAAGUAACUAAAUGCUUACAAUGAGUGGGCCUCUAUCUUUUACAUUACGCUCAUCUAUCUUCUCCAUUCAUGAUAUUUUACAACUGUCUAGUCUUCUCACUCGUGUAAAAUGAACAAAGACGUCCCUUCCCGAAAUUUCUAAACUCUGUAUUGUCAUAUUGCUUAUUAUCUGUGUCCAUGCUUGUUGUGUAUCUGUUAGCAGGAGAAAGCUAUGAUAUUAAUCAUAAUUAGCAAUGUUUUUAUAGUCUUUAUGGCUCUUUUAGAUUGUAGUAUCUGAUACAGAGAUUGACAAGAAACAGCAAGGAAAAGGGAAAUAUGCCAAAGUGGACUCUUUAUCGCUUUUGAAAACAGUCAAAACAUCUUUGGCAACGGCUCUAACACUGUUGGUGUUAGUUUUGACUGACGUUUCGUCAUCAUUAGCAGCAGUCACCUUCAAAGUCAAGAGUGGUCUCAGAGUCAAAGUUCUCGUAGAAAUGUUUGUCAACACGAACACCAACAAUCCUUUUCAAGACUGCACUGACCUAAACGCUCAAAAAAAUUCUUGUGAGAAAAAAAAAAUUGAACACAUAACAUCACAGGACAGCAAAGGACAAAUUAUCAUGAAAAACAAAAAUAUAAACAAAGAGAAAAUUGUGUAGCUAUCUACUUAUGAAAAAUAUCAAUAAACAUUUUUUAUAUUGUAAAAAGACACGAGUCAUGCACGGAAAAAGCUGUAAUCGCUAUGUAUAGCACUGUAAAUAUUCAAAUAAUGCAUUAAAGUGUUACGUUUCUCUGACA
Molecule: long non-coding RNA, 1121 nt
Organism: Xenia sp. Carnegie-2017
Lineage: Eukaryota; Metazoa; Cnidaria; Anthozoa; Malacalcyonacea; Xeniidae
Exons: 2
Source: RefSeq, a predicted model, not a curated record